ACGGUACAACGAGUCGCAAACUCGCGAGAGUAAGCUAAUCUCUUAAAGCCGUUCUCAGUUCGGACUGUAGGCUGCAACUCGCCUACACGAAGUCGGAAUCGCUAGUAAUCGCGGAUCAGAAUGCCGCGGUGAAUACGUUCCCGGGCCUUGUACACACCGCCCGUCACACCAUGAGAGUCGGGAACACCCGAAGUCCGUAGCCUAACCGCAAGGGGGGCGCGCCAAAGGUGGGUUCGAUAAUUGGGGUGAAGUCGUAACAAGGUAUC
RNAcentral lists this ribosomal RNA (266 nucleotides) under uncultured bacterium. RNAcentral describes it as "partial 16S ribosomal RNA". It matches the Rfam family "Bacterial small subunit ribosomal RNA", at positions 1234 to 1500 of the family's 1533-position model. The record is from RNAcentral.